AGCACGGGAGCAAUCCUGGUGGCGAGUGGCGAACGGGUGAGUAAUACAUCGGAACGUGCCCUGUCGUGGGGGAUAACUAGUCGAAAGAUUAGCUAAUACCGCAUACGACCUGAGGGUGAAAGCGGGGGACCGUAAGGCCUCGCGCGAUAGGAGCGGCCGAUGUCUGAUUAGCUAGUUGGUGGGGUAAAGGCCCACCAAGGCGACGAUCAGUAGCUGGUCUGAGAGGACGAUCAGCCACACUGGGACUGAGACACGGCCCAGACUCCUACGGGAGGCAGCAGUGGGGAAUUUUGGACAAUGGGGGCAACCCUGAUCCAGCAAUGCCGCGUGUGUGAAGAAGGCCUUCGGGUUGUAAAGCACUUUUGUCCGGAAAGAAAUCCCUUGCCCUAAUACGGCGGGGGGAUGACGGUACCGGAAGAAUAAGCACCGGCUAACUACGUGCCAGCAGCCGCGGUAAUACGUAGGGUGCGAGCGUUAAUCGGAAUUACUGGGCGUAAAGCGUGCGCAGG
RNAcentral lists this ribosomal RNA (509 nucleotides) under uncultured bacterium. Its description in RNAcentral is "bacterial SSU rRNA". It matches the Rfam family "Bacterial small subunit ribosomal RNA", at positions 71 to 575 of the family's 1533-position model. The record is from RNAcentral.